RNAcentral lists this ribosomal RNA (393 nucleotides) under Excirolana braziliensis. Its description in RNAcentral is "partial 16S ribosomal RNA". It matches the Rfam family "Bacterial large subunit ribosomal RNA", at positions 1996 to 2620 of the family's 2925-position model. Lineage: Eukaryota; Metazoa; Arthropoda; Malacostraca; Isopoda; Cirolanidae. The record is from RNAcentral.
AAGUAUCAACGUAGAGAAACUAAAUCAACCUUGCUCAGUGAAUUUUAACUUAGGGUAAAAAUGCCCCAAUAAUCUAGUAGGACGACAAGACCCUAUAAAACUUUACCACGUCAGUUUACUCCCAUAAAGUAUUAAUAUUCAAGACUUUAGUGGUUAGCUGGGGCGGCCAUCCCCCUCCGGGGAAUAAACUAACACCUUGCGUGACCUUUCGAACCCUUUUUAGUAAAAAGACCAAGUUACUUUAGGGAUAACAGCGUAAUUGUUCCAGAGAGCCCCUAUCGACGGAGCAGAUUACGACCUCGAUGUUGAAUUGGGGACCCUCCUAGGAGCAGCCCCUUAGCGAGGAAGUCUGUUCGACUUUUAAUCCCCCACAUGAUGUGAGUUCAGACCGGA